This 371-nucleotide ribosomal RNA is filed under the name uncultured prokaryote. RNAcentral describes it as "bacterial SSU rRNA". It matches the Rfam family "Bacterial small subunit ribosomal RNA", at positions 524 to 896 of the family's 1533-position model. The record is from RNAcentral.
GACGGAGGGGGCUAGCGUUGUUCGGAAUUACUGGGCGUAAAGAGUGCGUAGGCGGUUUAGUAAGUUGGAAGUGAAAGCCCGGGGCUUAACCUCGGAAUUGCUUUCAAAACUGCUAAUCUAGAGUGUAGUAGGGGAUGAUGGAAUUCCUAGUGUAGAGGUGAAAUUCUUAGAUAUUAGGAGGAACACCGGUGGCGAAGGCGGUCAUCUGGGCUACAACUGACGCUGAUGCACGAAAGCGUGGGGAGCAAACAGGAUUAGAUACCCUGGUAGUCCACGCUGUAAACGAUGAGUGCUAGAUAUCGGGAGAAUAUCUUUCGGUUUCGUAGCUAACGCAUUAAGCACUCCGCCUGGGGAGUACGGUCGCAAGAUUA